CACAACUCAAUCCUAAAAUCCACACCAACCACUGCUAAAAGUCAGAGAAUGAAGGAUAGCAAACCCAAUGUUACUACUGUUAAAAACAUUUGUUUCAUAGUAAACGCCGUUGAUUCUUCGACUUUCACAAGUUACCUGUAAUUUGUUCCCAACGUGAAAAAAAUCGAAGUUAAGAAUCAACUAGCAAAAAAGGUAUUAAAAUUUUGUAAUAUGUUAAAAACGAAAGCCCUCUUUUCCUUCAUCUGCAUUCGAUUAGAAAUGAAAUUGAAAAUUGGGUAAAUAAGGGCCUUUGUCGGAAUGAAUCCACAACUCUUGAAUUAAAUCAAUUAAACAUGCCAUUCAAACACCAUUAAGAAAACUAAACAAAUUAAAAGUAAAAAAAAAGGGGGGAAAAAGGAAAAAAUCACGGAUCUGACCUUAACAAUUCAGAAGAAUGGAUGAAGAGGGUGAGUAGGUCUGCGUUUGUAUAGAAAUUGAUUAAUGGUUGGUGGGCAGAGGAGAGAGAGAGUACCAAAGGAAAAUAAAUUAAUUUGGACAGAUUUUACGGCAAAAUAAUUGAAUACAGAAUCGAG
This 572-nucleotide long non-coding RNA is filed under the name Olea europaea subsp. europaea. Lineage: Eukaryota; Viridiplantae; Streptophyta; Magnoliopsida; Lamiales; Oleaceae. The record is from RNAcentral.